This 253-nucleotide ribosomal RNA is filed under the name uncultured bacterium. RNAcentral describes it as "partial 16S ribosomal RNA". It matches the Rfam family "Bacterial small subunit ribosomal RNA", at positions 524 to 776 of the family's 1533-position model. The record is from RNAcentral.
UACGAAGGUUGCAAGCGUUACUCGGAAUUACUAGGCGUAAAGGGCAGGUGGGUGGUUUGGUAAGUCUAUUGUGAAAGCUCCCGGCUCAACUGGGAGAGGCCAAUGGAUACUGCCAAGCUUGAGUAUAGGAGAGGUUACUGGAAUUCCCGGUGUAGCGGUGAAAUGCGAAGAUAUCGGGAGGAACACCAAUGGCGAAAGCAGGUAACUGGACUAUUACUGACACUCAACUGCGAAAGCUAGGGGAGCAAACAGG